GCCCAGGUGGUGGAAUUGGUAGACACGUUGGACUUAAAAUCCAAUGAGCAUUGCGCUCGUGCGGGUUCAAGUCCCGCCCCGGGUA
Molecule: transfer RNA, 85 nt
Filed under: Bacteroidota bacterium
Lineage: Bacteria; Pseudomonadati; Bacteroidota
Also listed under: 1 other name
Description: Bacteroidetes bacterium tRNA-Leu
Rfam family: tRNA
About the family: Transfer RNA (tRNA) molecules are approximately 80 nucleotides in length. Their secondary structure includes four short double-helical elements and three loops (D, anti-codon, and T loops). Further hydrogen bonds mediate the characteristic L-shaped molecular structure. tRNAs have two regions of fundamental functional importance: the anti-codon, which is responsible for specific mRNA codon recognition, and the 3' end, to which the tRNAs corresponding amino acid is attached (by aminoacyl-tRNA synthetases). tRNAs cope with the degeneracy of the genetic code in two manners: having more than one tRNA (with a specific anti-codon) for a particular amino acid; and 'wobble' base-pairing, i.e. permitting non-standard base-pairing at the 3rd anti-codon position.
Source: RNAcentral